Molecule: long non-coding RNA, 429 nt
Organism: Engraulis encrasicolus (European anchovy)
Lineage: Eukaryota; Metazoa; Chordata; Actinopteri; Clupeiformes; Engraulidae
Exons: 3
Source: RefSeq, a predicted model, not a curated record
ACUUCGGUUUGCAACAGAGAAGCAAGAUGGUUGCACUAACAACACAAGUUUGAUUCUUCACAGCAAAAGGACUAGGCUACCGGGUGAUUCUAGUAAUCCUGCAUUCCACUCUUCGCAGAGGACAGCGGUUGACUGCAUGAUUUUGGGAUUCCCCCAUUCAGUUGCUGGGCUACAGACACAUUGGUCUUUCACCUAUUCUGGUCUACUGUUCUAUUACUCCAUCUGUUACAACUACUACUACUUCAAGACAGCUACUUCAAAACUUCAAUCCACUGAAAUCAAUAAAGCUAACUGACAAGUGAAGAACCUCCUGCUGUCAGUGACCAAGACGCAAAGACUCCACUCACACCACAAACCAACAGAGAUGGAAGACACUUCACCUGUGGGGUCGGGCGAUAAAGAAUGACAAAAGAAAAACAAAAAUCACAA